This 71-nucleotide transfer RNA is filed under the name Cancer pagurus (edible crab). RNAcentral's name for it is "tRNA-His". It matches the Rfam family "tRNA". From Rfam's summary of the family: Transfer RNA (tRNA) molecules are approximately 80 nucleotides in length. Their secondary structure includes four short double-helical elements and three loops (D, anti-codon, and T loops). Lineage: Eukaryota; Metazoa; Arthropoda; Malacostraca; Decapoda; Cancridae. The record is from RNAcentral.
AUCUAGAUAGUUUAAUUUUAAAAUAUAAGUUUGUGGUACUUAGGACGUGAGUUUUUAUCUCAUUUUAGAUC